AACCUAGCACACCUGCGGUGUGUACCUGCGGAAGGAUCAUUACCGAGUUUACAACUCCCAAACCCCUGUGAACAUACCUAUACGUUGCCUCGGCGGAUCAGCCCGCGCCCUGUAAAAAGGGACGGCCCGCCCGAGGACCCCUAAACUCUGUUUUUAGUGGAACUUCUGAGUAAAACAAACAAAUAAAUCAAAACUUUCAACAACGGAUCU
RNAcentral lists this unclassified non-coding RNA (210 nucleotides) under soil metagenome. Its description in RNAcentral is "partial contains 5.8S ribosomal RNA, internal transcribed spacer 2, and large subunit ribosomal RNA". The record is from RNAcentral.